UGGGGAAUAUUGCACAAUGGGGCGCAAGCCUGAUGCAGCAACGCCACGUGAGGGAAGACGGUCUUCGGAUUGUAAACCUUUGUCUUUGGUGAAGAAGCAAUGACGGUAGCCAAGGAGGAAGCCACGGCUAACUACGUGCCAGCAGCCGCGGUAAUACGUAGGUGGCAAGCGUUGUCCGGAAUUACUGGGUGUAAAGGGAGCGCAGGCGGGACAGCAAGUUGGAUGUGAAAUACCGAGGCUUAACCACGGAGCUGCAUCCAAAACUGUUGUUCUUGAGUGAAGUAGAGGUAGGUGGAAUUCCGAGUGUAGCGGUGAAAUGCGUAGAUAUUCGGAGGAACACCAGUGGCGAAGGCG
RNAcentral lists this ribosomal RNA (354 nucleotides) under uncultured Eubacterium sp. RNAcentral describes it as "bacterial SSU rRNA". It matches the Rfam family "Bacterial small subunit ribosomal RNA", at positions 355 to 723 of the family's 1533-position model. Lineage: Bacteria; Bacillati; Bacillota; Clostridia; Eubacteriales; Eubacteriaceae. The record is from RNAcentral.